RNAcentral lists this ribosomal RNA (497 nucleotides) under uncultured bacterium. RNAcentral's name for it is "partial 16S ribosomal RNA". It matches the Rfam family "Bacterial small subunit ribosomal RNA", at positions 28 to 507 of the family's 1533-position model. The record is from RNAcentral.
GAUGAACGCUGGCGGCGUGCCUAAUACAUGCAAGUCGAGCGAACGGACGAGAAGCUUGCUUCUCUGAUGUUAGCGGCGGACGGGUGAGUAACACGUGGAUAACCUACCUAUAAGACUGGGAUAACUUCGGGAAACCGGAGCUAAUACCGGAUAAUAUUUUGAACCGCAUGGUUCAAAAGUGAAAGACGGUCUUGCUGUCACUUAUAGAUGGAUCCGCGCUGCAUUAGCUAGUUGGUAAGGUAACGGCUUACCAAGGCAACGAUGCAUAGCCGACCUGAGAGGGUGAUCGGCCGCACUGGAACUGAGACACGGUCCAGACUCCUACGGGAGGCAGCAGUAGGGAAUCUUCCGCAAUGGGCGAAAGCCUUACGGAGCAACGCCGCGUGAGUGAUGAAGGUCUUCGGAUCGUAAAACUCUGUUAUUAGGGAAGAACAUAUGUGUAAGUAACUGUGCACAUCUUAACGGUACCUAAUCAGAAAGCCACGGCUAACUACGUG